CUUUCUCUUUCUUAGUGUUCUUGAUAUCCUUUUCUCUUAUCAAUGUUCACACAUCAUCCAUGAAAUUUCUGCCACUAAUGUAUUCUCCAUCAAGUUUCUGAUCGUAUCUAGCCUAAACUUGUUCCAUUUUUGUGUGAUUUUGAAGUUAUUCGGUCGAUCUGAUCUGGGUUGGUUGGAUGUAAGCUCGUGUGUUGGGUUUGAAGGAAACCCAUAAUUGUCUCUAUAAACAUUCAAUUCAGGUACUUCAUUUCUUCAGUUUGAGGGAUUAUUUCCAUGGAUAAACCCCUUAUUGCCCUAGAAACCUAUGAAGACUAUUCAAUGUUGGCCUCAUCAAUGGUGGUAGACAUAUAUACAGAGAGUGAUGAAGCUUAUUUUUCACCACUACCUUCAUAUACUAUAGUCCCAGAAACUUGCAAUUAUUCGUCGCCACCACCGCCAGAUAAGGUGAUCCCAAGUGUAUAUGCUCAGAGUAAUGAAGUUGAUUUCUCCGACUUAUCUGACCUUGUGGUUCCAGAAACACCAGAACAUGUAUUUACUGAAGUGGAAUGACAAAUUCCAAGGAGCGUGUUAGGAGAUUCGGUGAACUACCAAAGAGUGAUUUCUCCAAGUUGGUUGAUCAAUCCCAAGAAAAAACCCCUCAUGAGUCCACAUUUUGAGAGUAAUUUUGAACGGUGUUAUGGUAAUUCCGAGUAUCUGGUGAUGGUUGACUAUCAGGUGUUUUGGAAGCACCAAGAUUUCGUCUUGGAAUAUUAUAAGUUGAUGUGGCCAGAACACUUCCCUGGAGAUUAAUCUGAAUAAGUCAUUAUGUCUCUCAUUUUAAAUUUAAUCCUUAUCUUGUCGUUUAUGGUUGAUUAAACAUGACUAUCCGUUAACUUAUGGGGUUUAACAACUCUUGUGUUGUGUGAUACUUUGUGUGUUCUUAUGGGGUUUGUCAAUGGUCUACAUCUCAAGGAUAUUAUGUUAGAGAUGAGUCUUUACAUAGAACUAUAUUAAUACAAACUUGCAUAUGUACUCA
Long non-coding RNA from Spinacia oleracea (spinach), 1015 nucleotides. RefSeq lists it as uncharacterized. The transcript has 2 exons. Lineage: Eukaryota; Viridiplantae; Streptophyta; Magnoliopsida; Caryophyllales; Amaranthaceae. The record is from RefSeq and is a predicted model, not a curated record.